AUAAAUUCCAAAACAGCAAUCCAACACUGCUAUGGAAUCCCAUUCAAAAUAUUUCUAUAUUACAGAUCCAUAGUAAAUCGAUUAACUAAUAUCAGGGUGUCCAUGCAUUGUCACUAAAGUUGGGGCGUUUCUGGGGCUGCCUUGGGGGCUGUGGAAAAUGGAGGAGCGACAAGUGCAGCGCUGCGAGAUUACACACAUUUGAGUGGCGUGCUGGAAAGUCUUCUGCAGCCCAACUCCCUCUUUCAGGAAAAGAAUUACAUUUAAUGUGGCCCCAGGGCAGCUGGCAAAGUGUUCUCCGGACUCUAUGGACUCUCUGGGACGUGAACCGAAAUUAUCUAAUUUGCAAAAGUUAUUGCGAUUAAUUGGGCGUAAUUAUUGCGUGUCGUUAGCCGAGGCUAAAUGGCGCCUUUUAUGCAGCCAUCGUAAUUAUUUUCCUCCUUUCUGCAUUUUCCCGGGUUUUCGCCUGCACUCUGCUGACCACUUGUCAAUUUUAAUUGAUUGUUAAUCUGGGAGGAAGCCUGAUCUUGACUCCUCGCCAAUUCCCCUCUUUUCGAUGGGGUUAAUCUUAGUUCUCCGUUCUGGCGUUCUGGAGUUAAUGAACCACUGAUGAUCAAGGAUAAGCACCAGUAUUGUGGACAUGACAAUUAGUUUGAGUUGGCUUCGCUUUUUGUUUCGCUGAGCUCUUUAUUGUGGCGGCAUCUAAAUAUAGACGAUGGGGGCCCAUAAAAAUCAGUAUUGUUUAACACAUACAUAUGUGCAGUCGAAGCUGCCGACUUAACCAAUUGAUUGCGGAUAAUUGCAAAACCUACAUAGCAGAAUAAUGAUGUAAGAACUUUGGAUCAAUGAUUUUAAAUCUGUCUGCUUUUUGAGAUUGUAUUGGCAAAUACAUAAUAUUAAUUUUGAUAAAGCA
This is a long non-coding RNA of Drosophila teissieri, 910 nucleotides long. RefSeq lists it as uncharacterized. NCBI's taxonomy places the organism in Eukaryota, Metazoa, Arthropoda, Insecta, Diptera, Drosophilidae. The record is from RefSeq and is a predicted model, not a curated record. The transcript is spliced from 3 exons.